UACGGAGGGAGCUAGCGUUAUUCGGAAUUACUGGGCGUAAAGCGCACGUAGGCGGCUUUGUAAGUAAGAGGUGAAAGCCUGGUGCUCAACACCAGAACUGCCUUUUAGACUGCAUCGCUUGAAUCAUGGAGAGGUGAGUGGAAUUCCGAGUGUAGAGGUGAAAUUCGUAGAUAUUCGCAAGAACACCAGUGGCGAAGGCGGCUCACUGGCCCGAUACUGACGCUGAGGCACGAAAGCGUGGGGAGCAAACAGG
RNAcentral lists this ribosomal RNA (253 nucleotides) under uncultured bacterium. RNAcentral describes it as "partial 16S ribosomal RNA". It matches the Rfam family "Bacterial small subunit ribosomal RNA", at positions 524 to 776 of the family's 1533-position model. The record is from RNAcentral.